Molecule: non-coding RNA, 114 nt
Organism: Brassica napus (rape)
Lineage: Eukaryota; Viridiplantae; Streptophyta; Magnoliopsida; Brassicales; Brassicaceae
Source: Rfam
GGAAUAUAAGAACCCGUCUCUUAAUUUUUAACUAAAAAAACUAAGAACCGGCUCUUAAAUAAGAGUUUUCUUAGCUUUUUUAGUUAAAAGUUAAGAGACGGGUUCUUAUAUUCC